AGCGGCCGUCGGUGCAGAUCUUGGU
Molecule: non-coding RNA, 25 nt
Filed under: Arabidopsis thaliana (thale cress)
Lineage: Eukaryota; Viridiplantae; Streptophyta; Magnoliopsida; Brassicales; Brassicaceae
Also listed under: 1 other name
Source: RNAcentral